Molecule: ribosomal RNA, 328 nt
Filed under: uncultured eukaryote
Lineage: Eukaryota
Description: partial 18S ribosomal RNA
Rfam family: Eukaryotic small subunit ribosomal RNA
Source: RNAcentral
CCCUUAGAUGUCCUGGGCCGCACGCGCGCUACACUGAUGCAUGCAACGAGUUUAUAACCUUGGCCUGAAAGGUCUGGGUAAUCUUUUGAACGAGCAUCGUGAUAGGGAUAGAUUAUUGCAAUUGUUAAUCUUGAACGAGGAAUUCCUAGUAAACGCGAGUCAUCAGCUCGCAUUGAUUACGUCCCUGCCCUUUGUACACACCGCCCGUCGCACCUACCGAUUGAAUGGUCCGGUGAAGAUCUCGGACUUCGAUAUUUAUUCUUUAUUGAGUUUAUAUUGUGGGAAGUUAUCUAAACCUCAUCAUUUAGAGGAAGGUGAAGUCGUAACA